UACGUAGGGGGCAAGCGUUGUCCGGAAUUAUUGGGCGUAAAGCGCGCGCAGGCGGUUCUUUAAGUCUGAUGUGAAAGCCCACGGCUCAACCGUGGAGGGUCAUUGGAAACUGGGGGACUUGAGUGCAGGAGAGGGAAGCGGAAUUCCUGGUGUAGCGGUGAAAUGCGUAGAGAUCAGGAGGAACACCAGUGGCGAAGGCGGCUUUCUGGCCUGUAACUGACGCUGAGGCGCGAAGGCGUGGGGAGCAAACAGGAUUAGAUACCCCAGUAGUCC
This 273-nucleotide ribosomal RNA is filed under the name uncultured bacterium. RNAcentral describes it as "partial 16S ribosomal RNA". It matches the Rfam family "Bacterial small subunit ribosomal RNA", at positions 524 to 796 of the family's 1533-position model. The record is from RNAcentral.